GCACACACACUUUUGUUCCAUUGAUGGGUACUCUGGAUUUUCUCAAAUACCUCUGUCAAAAGAGGACCAAGAGAAAACCACCUUUACUUGUCCUUUUGGAACUUAUGCUUAUAGACGUAUGCCUUUUGGUCUAUGCAAUGCACCUGCUACCUUUCAUAGAUGUACGACUACUAUAUUUUUUGACAGUUGUGAAUAGAUUGUUGAAGUUUUCAUGGAUGAUUUCUUUGUUCACAUGACUUGUUUUGAUGAUUGCUUAAGCAACCUUGAUCGAGUGUUGCAGAUAUGUGAAUAAACUAAUCUUGUCUUGAAUUGGGAGAAGUUCCACUUUAUGGUGAACGAAGGUAUAAUGCUUGGGCAUAAAAUUUACGAACGAGGUAUUGAGGUGGAUAAAACCAAAGUUGAUGCAAUAGAGAAAAAGCCUUGUCCAAAAUAUAUCAAAGGCAUAAGAAGUUUCCUUGGUCAAGUUGCUUUCUAUAGACGUUUCAUUAAAGAUUUCUCAAAGAUUUAUAGGCCAUUAACUACUUCUUCAAAAAGAUGCUGCUUUUAUUUUUGAUGAGGAUUGUGAAGAAGCCUUUGAAAUACAUAAGAAAGCCUUAAUUUCUGCACAGAUCGUUCAACCACCUGAUUGGAAUUUACCCUUUGAAUUUAUGUGUGGUGCUAGUGAUUAUACUAUUGGUGCUGUCCUAGGGAAACAAUAGAUAAGAAACGUAAUGCUAUUCAUUAUGCUAGUAAGACCCUAGAUACUACUCAAAGAAAUUAUGCUACUACUGAAAAUGAAUUUUUAGCAGUUGUGUUAGCGUGUGAUAAAUUUAGACCUUACAUUGUUGAUUCCAAAGUAACUAUUCAUACUGAUCAUGCUGCUAUUAAAUACCUCAUGGAAAAGAAAGAUGUUAAGCCUAGACUCAUGAGGUGGGUGUUUUUACUUAAAGAGUUUUUUUGCAUAUCGUUGAGAGAAAGGGGGUUGAUAAUCCUCUAGUAGAUAACUUAUCUAGAAUGGAAAAUGUUCUUGAUGACCCACUAACGAUUGAUGACAAUUUCCCUCAUGAGCAACUAGCUGCUGUUAGCACUUCUCGCAGCUCUCCUUGGUAUGCUGAUUAUGCUAACUUUAUUGUGGCAAAAUAUAUUCCACCUAGCUUCACCUAUCAAAAAAAUAAAAAAUUCAUUAUGACUUAAGGCAUUACUUUUUGGAUGACCCACAUCUUUAUAAAGAAGGAGUUGAAGGUAUUAUUAGACGUUGUAUACCUGAGCAUGAACAUGAACAAAUCUUAAGGAAUGCCAUUAUGAAGCUUAUGGAGGACAUCAUGCUGGUGACACAACGACACACAAGGUACUACAAUCUGGUUUUUAUUGGCGUACUCUUUUCAAAGAUGCAUGUAAAUAUAUCUUUUCUUGUGAUGAAUGCCAAAGAGUUCGCAAUAUUGGUAAACGUCAGAAAAUUCCUAUGAAUUAUUCACUUGCUAUUGAACCAUUUGAUGUCUGGGUUUCAAUUUUAUGGGACCUCUCCCCUCCUCUAAUGGAUACACUCAUAUUUUAGUUGCUGUUGAUUACAUUACUAAAUGGGUAGACGCUAUUGCAACUAGUAGUGCUGAUCAUACCACUUCUAUUAAAAUGCUUAAGGACAUUAUCUUUGUGAGGUUUGGAGUCACUAGAUACUUGAUGACUCACGGUGGUUCACAUUUUAUUCAUGGUGCUUUCCGUAAAAUUCUAGCUAAAUAUGAUGCUAACCAUAGGAUUGCAUCCCCUUAUCAUCUUCAAUCUAGUGGCCAAGUAGAGCUGAGCAAUCAUGAAAUAAAAUUAAUCUUGCAAAAGGCUGUCAAUAGAUCCAGGAAGAAAUGGACUAAGAAACUAGAUGAUGCUCUUUGGGCCUAUAGGACUACUUAUAAGAAUCCUAUGGGGAUGUCCCCAUAAAAUAAUGGUCUAUGGAAAAGCUUGUCAUUUUCCUCCUGAGCUAGAACAUAAAGCUUAUUGGACAACUAAAGAACUUAACUAUGAUUUCAAACUCGCCGGUGAAAAAAGGUUAUUUGAUAUUAGCUCAUUAGAUGAAUGGAGGACACAAGCCUAUGAAAAUGCUAAUUUAUUUGAAGAGAAAGUUAAAAGGUGGCAUGACAAGAGAAUACAAAAACGAGAAUUGAAUGUAGGAGACUGAUACGUCUCCGUCGUAUCUACUUUUUUGAACUCUUUUGCCCUUGUUUUGGACUCUAAUUUGCAUGAUUUGAAUGGAACUAACCCGGACUGACGCUGUUUUCAGCACAAUUGCCAUGGUGUUGUUUUUGUGCAGAAAUAAAAGUUCUCGGAACGUCCUGAAAAUUUACGAAGUUUUUUCUGGAAUAAAAGAAAAAUACCUGCGCAAAGAUCCAUGUGAGGGGGCAUGCCAGUGGGCCACAAGCCCACAGGCCGCGACCACCCCCUAUGGUCGCGCUGUGCAGGCUUGUGGGGCCCACGUGGCACCACCGCCCCAAUCUCAGCUCGAUAUCUUCCAUUUCUCCUGGAAAAAAAAAUCAGAAAGAAGGUUUCAUCGCGUUUUGCGAUACGGAGGCGCCGCCACAUCCUGUUCUUCAUCUCGAGGGCAGAUCUCGAGUCCGCUUCGGGCUCCGGAGAGGGGAAAUCGUCGCCAUCGUCAUCAUCAACCUUUCUCCAUCGACAAUUCCAUGAUGCUUUUCAUUGUUCGUGAGUAAUCUCAUUGUAGGCUUGCUGGACGGUGAUGAGUUGGAUGAGAUCUAUCAUGUAAUCGAGUUAGUUCUUGACGGGGAUUGACCCCUAGUAUCCACUAUGUUCUAGAUUGAGGUUGCUACUACUUUGCCAUGCUUAAUGCUUGUCACUAGGGCUGAGUGUCAUGAUUUCAGAUCUGAACCUAUUAUGUUGUCGCCAAUAUAUGUGUGUUUUAGAUCCUAUCUUGCAAAUUGUAGUCAUCUACUAUGUGUUAUGACCCGGCAAUCCCGGAGUGACAAUAGCCGAACCACUCUCGGAGAUGACCAUAGUAUGAGGAGUUCAUGUAUUCACCAAGUGUUAAUGCGUUGGUCCGGUUCUUUAUUAAAAGGAGAACCUUAAUAUCCCGUAGUUUCCAUUAGGACCUCGCUGCCAUGGGAGGGAUGGACAAUAGAUGUCAUGCAAGUUCUUUUCCCUAAGCACGUAUGACUACAUACGGAAUACAUGCCUACAUUAGAUUGAUGAACGGGAGCUAGUUACAUAUCUCUCCGUGUUAUAGGUGUUACAUGAUGAAUCACAUCCGUCACACUCAUCCAUCACCGAUCCACUGCCUACGAGUCUUUUACUACUGGUCCUCUCUACGUUACUUUGCCUAGGCUUGUCCCUUGCUACAAAAGGGAUUGGGCCACUUUGCUGCUGCUGUCACUACUGCUGUUACUUGUUGCUUUGCUGCUGCUGUCACUAUUGCUAUUACUUGUUACUUUGUUGCUACUGCUACUACUGUUCCUUGCUACUCCGCUGUUACUUGUUGCAAGAAUUUGUUGGUGCUAACAUCCCAUCAACAAGGCUUUUUCUGGCGCUGUUGCCGGGGAUUGUCAAAGCUUUUCUCGCGCUGUUGCUAUCAUACUACCUUGCUACUGAUACUUUGCUUGCAGACACUAAUCUUUCAGGUGUGGUUGAAUUGACAACUCAGCUGCUAAUACUUGAGAAUAUUCUUUAGCUUCCCCUUUUGAGUGAAUCAAUAAAUUUGGGUUGAAUACUCUACCCUCGAAAACUUCUGCAAUCCCAUACGCGUGUGGGACAUCAAGACUUUUCUGGCGCCGUUGCUGGGGAAGCACAUCUAUAUUCUCUGAGUCACUUGGGAUUGACGUCUGCUGAUCACUAUGAGGAAUCCAAAAGAUCCAAGAACUAAAAUCUUGCCUUCCACUACGAGGAGAGGUAAGGAAUUGCCAUCUAGCUCUGCACUUGAUUCACCUUCAGUUUUGAGUAAGUUUGCGACAUCGCCUCGUGCUAGAUAUCUUGAUAUGUCGCCCGUGCUUGAUGAUGUUACUACUGCUGCCCUUAAUACUAUGCCUGAUGAUGCUAUGCUUGUUACUAUGCCUGAUACUGCUUUGACACUAGGUGCAUUCCUUGAUGCACAUAUUGCUAAAGUUGCUGCUAGAUGUGAUGAUACUUCUGAAACUGCUGAUACUAUUGAAGUAGAACCUGCUACUAUGCCUGAAUUGCCUGUUAUGCCUGAUACGCGCUAUGUUAUGGAGGGAGAGAUAGCUGAGGAUUUUCUUGCGCGUAAGGAUAGCUAUGAUGUUGAGAAACUUCUGCGCAAGUGGAAAGAAAAAUCUCUGAACGCUAGGAUGAAAUACGACCCGAAGUUUGCCACUUCACCUAUCUUUGUGACCGAUAAGGAUUAUGAAUUCUCUAUCGACCCUGAGUUAAUCACUCUGGUCGAAUAUGAUCCCUUUCAUGGUUACGAGUUUGAAAUGGUUGUAGCCCAUCUUACCAAAGUGCACGAUAUAACCACCGUAUUCACUAGUGAGGAAAAGAUCCGCCACUACUAUAUGCUCAAGUUGUUCCCUUUCUCGCUAAAGGAUGAUGCUAAGACCUGGUUCACUUCUCUUGCUCGUGGUUGUGUGCGUAGCCCCCAGGAUAUGGUCUACUACUUCUCUGAAAAAUAUUUCCCUGCCCAUAAGAAGCAAGCUGCCUUGGUGGAAAUAUACAACUUUGCUCAAGCUGAAGAAGAGAGUCUCCCACAAGCUUGGGGGAGGCUCAUCCAACUACUCAAUGCUUUGCCUGAUCAUCCUCUUGAGAAGAACGAAAUACUUGAUAUCUUCUAUAAUGGACUUACUGAUGCUUCCAAAGACCAUCUAGAUAGUUGUGCCGGUAGUGUUUUUAGGGAACGAACCAUAGAACAAGCUGAGAUUUUAUUGAAUAACAUCUCGUGCAAUGAGAAUGCUUGGACUAUUCCCGAACCACCUCCUAAGCCAACUCCAAAGAAAAGAGGUAUUCUAUUCCUCAGUCCUUAAGAUAUGCAAGAAGCCAAGAAAUCUAUGCGAGAGAAAGGCAUUAAAUCUGAAGAUGUCAAAAAUCUACCACCUAUCGAAGAGAUCCAUGGUCUCGAUAACCUGAUACAGGUAGUAGAAGUAAAUUCCCUGCGUAGGUUUGAUGAGAGUGAUAUUCCUUUUGAUAAACCUGCUAGCUUAUGCAUGGAUGAAUUUGAUAACUUCGUUGUCAAACAACAGAGUUUCAAUGAUUAUGUUAGCACUGAAUUUGAUAACUUCGUUGUCAAACAACAAGAUUCUCAAGGAGUUAGCACUGAUGCACCUAGUCAUCCUAGAAAGAAGAAGAAAGAUGAUAGGAACCUGCACGCUAGCAACCCUGUUGUUGCUACACCUGUGAGUCCAAACGAUGCCUCUAUCUGUGAUGCUGAAACACAAUCUGGUGAUGAACAUGAGCCUAAUGAUAAUAUCAAUAGUGAUGUUCAUGAAGAUCCUCAACCUAGCAAUGAUAAGGAUGUGCAGAUUGAACCUAGUGUUGAUCUUGAUAACCCACAACCUACGAAUAGAAGAUACGAUAAGAAUGACUUCGCUGCUAGGAAGCAUGGUAAAGAAAGGGAACCAUGGGUUCAGAAACCUAUGCCCUUUCCUCGCAAACCAUCCAAGAAAAAGGUGUUGGAAAUAUGCCCUAGAGGAAAUAAUAAAAUGGUUAUUAUCACAUUUCCUUCUUCAUGAUAAUCGUCUAUUGUUCAUGCUAUAAUUGUAUUAAUAGGAAACAAUAAUACAUGUGUGAAUAAAUAGAUCACAAUGUGUCCUUAGCAAGCCUCUAGUUGGCUAGCUCGUUAGUCAAUAGAUGAUCAUGGUUUCCUGAUCAUGGGCAUUAGAUGUCAUUGAUAACGGGAUCACAUCAUUGGGAGAAUGAUGUGAUGGACAAGACCCAAUCCUAAGCAUAACACUAGAUCGUAUUGUUCGUAUGCUAAAGCUUUUCUAAUGUCAAGUAUCUUUUACUUUGACCGUGAGAUUGUGCAACUCCCGGAUACCGUAGGAGUGCUUUGGGUGUAUCAUACGUCACAACGUAACUGGGUGACUAUAAAGGUGCACUACGGGUACCUCCGAAAGUGUCUGUUGGGUUGGUACGAAUCGAGAUCGGGAUUUGUCACUCCGUGUGACGGAGAGGUAUCUCUGGGCCCACUCGGUAGAACAUCAUCAUGAGCUCAAUGUGACUAAGGACUUAGUCACACGAUGACGUGCUACGGAACGAGCAAAGAGACUUACCGGUAACGAGAUUGAACAAGGUAUAGGCAUACCGACGAUCGAAUCUCGGGCAAGUUCUAUACCGACAGACAAAGGGAAUCAUAUACGGGAUUGAUUGAAUCCUUGACAUCGUGGUUCAUCCGAUGAGAUCAUCGUGGAGCAAGUGGGAGCCACCAUGGGUAUCCAGACCACGCUGAUGGUUAUUGGCCGGAGAGGCGUCUCGGUCAUGUCUGCCUGUCUCCCGAACCCGUAGGGUCUACACACUUAAGGUUCGAUGACGCUAGGGUUAUAGGGAAUUAUUAUACGAGGUUACUGAAAGUUGUUCGGUGUCCCGGAUGAGAUCCCGGAUGUCAUGAGGAGCUCCGGAAUGGUCCGGAGGUAAAGAUUGAUAUAUAGGACGGAUGGUUUCGGAUACCGGAAGUGUUUCGGGCAUCACCGGUAACGUACCGGGACCACCAGAGGUGGCCCCGGGGGUCCACCGAAGGGGGGCAACGACCCCGGGAGGUAAGGUGGGCCAAGUGGGGAAGCAAACCAGCCCCUAGGUGGGCUCGUGCGCCUCCCCACUCAGCCCAAUGCGUGGGGGAGAGAAAAGGGGGGGCAAACCCUAAGCCAGGUGGGCCUAAGGCCCACCAGGGGUGCGCCACACCCCUCCUCCCCCCUUGGCCGCCGCACCAGCCCCCGUCUAGGGCUGCCCCCCCAGGAGAGGGAAACCCUCAAGGGGGCGCAACCCCUCCCUUCCCCUAUAUAUAGUGGGCACUUUUGGCCAUUGAAGAUCAGACUUUGGCCUCUCUCUCGGCGCAGCCCUGCCCUUCUUCCUCCUCCUCUCUGCCGGUGCUUGGCGAAGCCCUGCCGGGAGACCUCGUCUCUCCAUCGACACCACGCCGUCGUCUGCUAGAGUUCUUCCCCAACCUCUCCCUCCUCCUUGCUAGAUCAAGGUGCGGGAGAUGUCACCGGGCUGCACGUGUGUUGAACGCGGAGCUGUUGUAUUUCGGCACUAGAUCGGAAUCGCUACGAGUACGACUCCAUCAACCGCGUUCUAGCAACGCUUCCGCUUAGCGAUCUUCAAAGCUAUGAAGAUGCUCUUACCCCUCUCUCGUUGCUGGUCUCUCCAUAGGAAGAUCUGAAUAUGCGUAGGAAAUUUUUAAUUUAUGCUACGUUACCCAACAGUGGCAUCCGAGCCAGGUUUUCUAUGCGUAGAUUCUAUGCACGAGUAGAACACAAAAGUUGUGGGCGAUGAUUUGUCAAUUUGCUUGAAGCUACUAGUCUUAUUAUUUUCCGGCGGUAUUGUGGGAUGAAGCGGCCCGGACCGACUUUACACGUACGCUUACGUGAGACUGGUUCCACCGACAGACAUGCACACAGUGCAUAAAGGUGGCUAGCGGGUGUCUGUCUCUCCUACUCUAGUCGGAUUGGAUUUGAUGAAAAGGGUCCUUAUGAAGGGUAAAUAGCUUUGGCAUAUCAUCGUUGUGGCUGUCACGUAGGUAAGAAGGCGUUCUUGCUAGAAACCCAAAUCAGCCACGUAAAACUUGCAACAACAAUUAGAGGACGUCUAACUUGUUUUUGCAGGGUUUGACAUGUGAUGUGAUAUGGCCAAAGUUGUGAUGUUGCAUGUAUGAUGUAUGAUAUGAUAAUGUUAUUGUAAUAGGUUUCACGUGCAUGUCGAUGAGUAUGACAACCGGCAGGAGCCAUAGGAGUUGUCUUAAUUUAUUGUAUGAGAUGCAACGCCAUGUGCUUACUACUUUUACUUCAUUGCUAACGGUUAGCUAUAGUAGUAGUGAUAGUAGUAGUUGGCGUGACGACUUCACGGAGACACGAUGAUGCAGAUCAUGAUGAUGGAGAUCAUGGUGUCACGCCGGUGACGAUGAUGAUCAUGCGAUGCCUGAAGAUGGAGAUCGAAAGAGCAAAGAUGAUAAUGGCCAUAUCAUGUCACUAUAUGAUUGCAUUGUGAUGUUUAUCAUGUUUUACAUCUUAUUGCUUAGAAUGACGGUAGCAUAAUAAGAUGAUCCCUCUUAAAAUUUCGAGAACGUAUUCCCCUAAGUGUGUACCGUUGCGAAGGUUCGUUGUCUCGAAGCACCACGUGAUGAUCGGGUGUGAUAGAUUCUAACGUUCGCAUACAACGGGUGUAAGCCAGAUUUACACACGCGAAACACCUAGGUUGACUCGACGAGCUUAGCAUGUACAGACAUGACCUCGAAUACAAGAGACCUAAAGGUCUAACAUGAGUCGUAUGGUUGAAUACGAUCAGCAUGGAGUUGCUCACCGUGGUGACUAGUCCGUCUCACGUGAUGAUCGGACACGGGUUAGUCAACAUGGAUCAUGUAUCACUUAGAUGACUAGAGGGAUGUCGAUUUAAGUGGGAGUUCAUACUUAAUUUGAUUAAAUGAACUUAAUUGUCAUGAACUUAGUCUAAAAGUUGUCUUUAUAAAUAUUGUAGAUGGCCAACGUCAACCUCAAUUUCAACGCAUUCCUAGAGAAAAACAAGCUGAAAGAUGAUGGUAGAAACUAUGCGGACUGGGUUCGCAACUUGAAGCUCAUCCUUGAAGCAGCUAAAAAGGCUUAUGUCCUUGAUGCGCCGCUAGGUGACCCUCCCGCUCCCACAGCAGCCCAGGACAUUCUGAACGUCUGGCAAACGCGGAGUGAUGACUACUCUUUGGUUAGGUGUGGCAUGUUAUACAGUUUAGAAACGGGGCUCCAAAGGCGUUUUGAGCAACACGGGGCAUAUGAGAUGUUCCAGGAGCUGAAGCUAGUUUUUCAAGCUCAUGCCCGUGUCGACAGAUAUGAAGUCUCCGACUAGUUCUUUAGCUGUAAGAUGGAGGAGAACAGUUCUGUCAGUGAGCACAUACUCAAAAUGUCUGGGUUACACGGUCGUGUGACUUCACUUGGAGUCGAACUUCCGGAUGAUGCUAUAAUUGACAGAAUCCUCCAGUCUCUCCCACCAAGCUACAAAGGCUUUGUGCUUAACUACGACAUGCAAGGGAUGGAGAAGACCAUUCCCGAGUUGUACUCGAUGCUCAAGUCUGCAGAAGUAGAAAUCAAGAAAGAGCAUCAAGUGUUGAUGGUCAACAAGACCACUAGUUUCAAGAAAGGCAAGGGUAAGAAGAACUUCAAGAAAGACGGCAAAGUUGUUGCCGCGCCCGGUAAGCCAGAUGCUAGGAAGAAGAAAAAGAAUGGACCCAAGCCUGAGACUGAGUGCUUCUAUUGCAAAGGAAAAGGUCAGUGGAUGCGGAACUGCCCCAAAUACUUAGCGGACAAGAAGGCCGGCAACGUUAAAGGUAUAUGUGAUAUACAUGUUAUUGAUGUGUACCUUACCAGCGCUCGUAGUAGCUCCUGGGUAUUUGAUACCGGUGUUGUUGCUCACAUUUGCAACUCAAAGCAGGAACCGCGUAAUAAGCGGAGACUGGCCAAGGACGAGGUGACAAUGCGUGUCGGGAAUGGUUCAAAGGUCGAUGUGAUCGCCGUCGGCACGCUACCUCUACAUCUACCGUCGGGAUUAAUUUUAAACCUUAAUAAUUGUUAUUUAGUACCAACUUUAAGCAUGAACAUUGUAUCAGGGUCUUGCUUAAUGCGAGACGGCUACUCAUUUAAGUCAGAGAAUAAUGGUUGUUCUAUUUAUGAGUGAAAUGUUUUAUGGUCAUGCUCCGCUGGGGAAUGGUUUAUUCUUGAUGAAUCUUGAUCGUGAUGUUACACAUAUUCAUAGUGUGAGUACCAAAAGAUGUAAAGUUGAUAAUGAUAGUCCCACAUACUUGUGGCACUGCCGCCUUGGUCAUAUAGGUGUUAAGCGCAUGAAGAAGCUCCAUACUGAUGGACUAUUAGAGUCUCUUGACUUUGAAUCAUUUGACACAUGCGAACCGUGCCUCAUGGGCAAGAUGACUAAGACUCCAUUCUCAGGAAUAAUGGAGAGAGCAACCGACUUAUUGGAAAUAAUACAUACUGAUGUGUGUGGUCCAAUGAACGUUGAAGCUCGCGGUGGUUAUCGUUAUGUUCUCACUCUCACCGAUGAUUUGAGUAGGUAUGGGUAUAUCUACUUGAUGAAGCACAAAUCUGAGACGUUUGAAAAGUUCAAGGAAUUUCAGAGUGAGGUUGAGAAUCAACGUGACAGAAAAAAUUAAAUGUUUACGAUCUGAUCGUGGAGGAGAAUAUUUGAGUCACGAGUUUGGCACACACCUAAGGAAGUGUGGAAUCGUUUCACAACUGACGCCGCCUGGCACACCGCAACGGAACAGAGUGUCUGAACGUCGUAAUCACACUUUAUUAGAUAUGGUACAAUCUAUUAUGUCUCUUACCGACUUACCGCUAUCAUUUUGGGGAUACGCAUUAGAAACCGCAGCAUUCACUUUAAAUAGGGCACCGUCUAAAUCCGUUGAGACGACACCGUAUGAACUAUGGUUUGGCAAGAAACCUAAGUUGUCGUUUCUUAAAGUUUGGGGUUGCGAUGCUUAUGUGAAGAAACUUCAACGAGAAAAGCUCAAACCCAAAGCGGAGAGAUGCGUAUUCAUAGGAUACCCUAAGGAAACUAUUGGGUAUACCUUCUAUAUUAGAUCCGAAGGUAAAACCUUUGUUGCCAAGAACGGAUCCUUUCUAGAGAAAGAGUUUCUCUCGAAAGAAGUAAGUGGGAGGAAGGUAGAACUUGAUGAGGUAAUUACACCCCCUCUCGAACAGGAUAGUAGCCCAGCGCGGGAAGUUGUUCCUGUGGCGCCUACACCAACUGAAGAGCAAGUUAAUGAUGAUGAUCAUGAAGCUUCGGAUCAAGUUACUACUGAACUGCGAAGGUCCACAAGGGCACGCUCCGCACCAGAGUGGUACGGCAACCCUGUGAUGGAAAUCAUCUUGUUAGACAACGUGAACCUUCGAACUAUGAAGAAGCGAUGGCGGGCCCGGAUUCCAACAAAUGGCUUGAGGCUAUGAAAUCCGAGAUAGGAUCCAUGUAUGAGAACAAAGUGUGGACUUUGGUGGACUUGCCCGAUGACCGGCGAGCCAUAGAAAAUACAUGGAUCUUCAAGAAGAAGACUGAUGCAAACGGUAAUAUAACCGUUUACAAAGCUCGACUUGUCGCAAAGCGUUUUCAACAAAUACAAGGAGUUGACUACGAAGAGACUUUCUCUCCUGUAGCGAAGCUGAAAUCAGUCCGAAUCAAGUUAGCAAUUGCCGCCUUUUAUGUUAUGAAAUUUGGCAAAUGGACGUCAAAACAGCGUUCCUUAACGGGAACCUUAAGGAAGAGUUGUAUAUGAUGCAACCAGAAGGUUUUGUCGACCCUAAGGGUGCUAACAAAGUGUGCAAGCUGCAGCGCUCCAUCUAUGGGCUGGUGCAAGCAUCUCGUAGUUGGAACAUUCGCUUUAAUGAGGUGAUUAAAGCGUUUGGGUUCAUACAGGUUUACGGAGAAGCCUGUCUGUACAAGAAAGUGAGUGGGAGCUCUGUAGCUUUCCUCAUACUGUAUGUGGAUGACAUAUUAUUGAUGGGGAAUAAUAUAGAGAUGUUGGAGAGCAUAAAGGCCUAUUUGAACAUUUUUUUUUCAACGAAUGACCUUGGAGAAGCUGCAUACAUAUUAGGCAUCAAGAUCUAUAGAGAUAGAACAAGACGGCUCACAGGUCUUUCACAAAGUACAUACCUUGACAAGAUAUUGAAGAAGUUCAAUAUGGAAAACUCAAAGAAAGGGUUCUUGGCAGUUUUGCAAGGUUUGAGAUUGAGUAAAACUCAAUCACCGACCUAGGCAGCAGAUAGAGAGAAGAUGAGUUCUGUCCCCUACGCAUCAGCCGUGGGCUCUCUAAUGUAUGUCAUGCUGUCUACCAGACCUGAUAUAAACCUUGCCAUAAGCUUGGUAGGGAGGUAGCAAAGUGAUCCUGGUAUGGAACACUGGACAGUGGUUAAGAAUAUCCUCAAGUACCUGAAAAGGACUAAGGAAAUGUUUCUCGUUUAUGGAGGUGACGAAGAGCUCGUCGUAAAGGGUUACGUCGACGCUAGCUUCGACACAGAUCCGGAUGACUCUAAGUCACAGACCGGAUACGUAUAUGUGUUGAAUUGUGGGGCAGUGAGUUGGUGCAGCAGCAAGCAAGAAGUCGUGGCAGCAUCUACAUGUGAAGCGGAGUACAUAGCUGCUUCAGAAGCAGCUCAUGAAGGAAUUUGGAUGAAGGAGCUCAUCACCGACCUUGGAGUGGUUCCAAGCACGCCGGGUCCACUGACACUCUUUUGUGAUAACACUGGGGCCAUUGCCAUAGCCAAGGAGCCCAGGUUUCACCGGAAGACGAAGCACAACAAACGCCGCUACAACUCCAUCCAGGACCAUGUCCAAAGUGGAGUGAUAGAUAUUUGUAAAGUACACACGGAUCUGAAUAUUGCAGACCCGUUGACUAAACCUCUUCCACGAGCAAAACAUGAUCAACACCAUAAUGAUAUGGGUGUUCGAUACAUCACAAUGUAACUAGAUUAUUGACUCUAGUGCAAGUGGGAGACUUUUGGAAAUAUGCCCUAGAGGCAAUAAUAAAAUGGUUAUUAUCAUAUUUCCUUGUUCAUGAUAAUCAUCUAUUGUUCAUGCUAUAAUUGUAUUAACAGGAAACAGUAAUACAUGUGUGAAUAAAUAGAUCACAAUGUGUCCCUAGCAAGCCUCUAGUUGGCUAGCUCGUUAGUCAAUAGAUGAUCAUGGUUUCCUGAUCAUGGGCAUUAGAUGUCAUUGAUAACGGGAUCACAUCAUUGGGAGAAUGAUGUGAUGGACAAGACCCAAUCCUAAGCAUAGCACUAGAUCGUAUUGUUCGUAUGCUAAAGCUUUUCUAAUGUCAAGUAUCUUUUCCUUCGACCGUGAGAUUGUGCAACUCCAGGAUACCGUAGGAGUGCUUUGGGUGUAUCAAACGUCACAACGUAACUGGGUGACUAUAAAGGUGCACUACGGGUACCUCCGAAAGUGUCUGUUGGGUUGGUACGAAUCGAGAUCGGGAUUUAUCACUCCGUGUGACGGAGAGGUAUCUAUGGGCCCACUCGGUAGAACAUCAUCAUGAGCUCAAUGUGACUAAGGAGUUAGUCACACGACGACGUGCUAUGGAACGAGUAAAGAGACUUACCGGUAACGAGAUUGAACAAGGUAUAGGCAUACCUACGAUCGAAUCUCGGGCAAGUUCUAUACCGAAAGACAAAGGGAAUCAUAUACGGGAUUGAUUGAAUCCUUGACAUCGUGGUUCAUCCGAUGAGAUCAUCGUGGAGCAAGUGGGAGCCACCAUGGGUAUCCAGACCCCGCUGAUGGUUAUUGGCCGGAGGGGCGUCUCGGUCAUGUGUGCCUGUCUCCCGAACCCGUAGGGUCUACACACUUAAGGUUCGAUGACACUAGGGUUAUAGGGAAUUGUUAUACGAGGUUACCGAAAGUUGUCCGGAGUCUCGGAUGAUAUCCCAGACGUCAUGAGGAGCUUCGGAAUGGUCCGGAGGUAAAGAUUGAUAUAUAGGACGGAUGGUUUUGGAUACUGGAAGUGUUUCGGGCAUCACCGGUAACGUACCGGGACCACCGGAGGUGGCCCCGGGGGUCCACCGAAGGGGGGAAACGACCCCGGGAGGUAAGGUGGGCCAAGUGGGGAAGGGAACCAGCCCCUAGGUGGGCUGGUGCGCCUCCCCACUCAGCCCAAUGCGUGGGGGAGAGAAAAGGGGGGCAAACCCUAAGCCAGGUGGGCCUAAGGCCCACCAGGGGUGAGCCACACCCCUCCUCCCCCCCCUUGGCCGCCGCACCAGCCCCCACCAAGGGCUGCUGCCCCCCCAGGAGAGGGAAAUCCUCAAGGGGGCGUAGCCCCUCCCUUCCCCUAUAUAUAGUGGGCACUUUUGGCCAUUGGAGAUCAGACUUUGGCCUCUCUCUCGGUGCAGCCCUGCCCUUCUUCCUCCUCCUCUGUGCCGGUGCUUGGUGAAGCCCUGCUGGGAGACCUCGUCUCUCCAUCGACACCACGCCGUCGUGUUGCUGGAGUUCUUCCCCAACCUCUCCCUCCUCCUUGCUGGAUCAAGGUGCGGGAGACGUCACCGGGCUACACGUGUGUUGAAUGCGGAGGUGUCGUAGUUCGACACUAGACCGGAAUCCCUGCGAGUACGACUCCAUCAACCGCGUUCUAGCAACGAUUCCGCUUAGCGAUCUUCAAAGGUAUGAAGAUGCUCUUACCCCUCUCUCGUUGCUGGUCUCUCCAUAGGAAGAUCUGAAUAUGCGUAGGAAAUUUUGAAUUUAUGCUACGUUACCCAACAAAAGGAUGAUGAGGAUUUUGAGCGAUUCGUUGAAAUGAUCAGACUUGUCUUUCUGCAGAUGCGUUUGACUGAUAUGCUCAAGAUGUCUCCGUAUGUUAAGUACAUGAAAGAUACUUUGACUAAUAAGAGGAGGAUACCUGAUCUUGAGAUCUUCGCCAUGCUUGCUAAUUACACCUUCAAGGGUGGAACUCCGAAGAAACUAGGUGAUCCCGGUGUGCCCACUAUACCUUGCUCCAUUAAAGGCAACUACGUUAGAACUGCGUUAUGCGAUCUUGGAGCCGGUGUUAGUGUUAUGCCUCUCUCUCUUUAUUGUAUACUUGAACUGGAUAAGUUGACACCCACUAAAAUCUCUCUGCAAAUGGCCGACAAAUCAACUCCUUUCCCUAUUGGCAUUUGCGAGCAUGUGCCUGUUGUGGUUGCUAAUACCACUAUCUUAACAGACUUUGUUAUCUUGGAUAUUCCCGAGGACGAUGCCAUGGCUGUCAUUCUCGGAAGACCCUUUUUAAACACUGCAGGGGCUGCUAUAGAUUGCAACAAAGGCAAUGUCACUUUCCAUGUCAAUGGUAAUGAGCAUACGGUGCACUUUCCGAAGAAACAAUAUCGAGUACAUUGCAUCAAUGCUAUCAAAAAAUGUUCAUCGAUUCUUAUUGCGAGCUUUGAAUGCCAUAUUCCUCGCAUUAAGAUGAAGUACGAUUUGCUUGUUGGGGAGAUACACAUCCCCAUUGAGGUGACCUAGUGACUAUUCGGAAAUUCUCCGUCUUCUUUUGCGAUUCGAGAAUGUUUUGUCGAGGGGAUUUGAUCAACCCCAUUGACGGAUUUCUUUCGAUGACCAUGAGAUGGAUGAAUCAAGGAGUCACAAACCUCUGUUCCAAGCUUUCACUUUAGGUUGCUUAGAAGAAAAAUGAUAGGUUUAGUUUAUUUUUCCCUGUUUUCUGUUUUAGCGUCCGGUAGAAAAGUACCCCGAAAAUCAAAGUUCUCCGAACGCUGUGAAAAUCAAGUAUGAUUUUUUCUGGAAUAUUUGAAAAAUACUCGAACAAAGAGUCUGUCUGGGGGCCACACCAGUGGGCCACAAGCCCUAGGGGCAUAGGCACCCCCUGGACGCGCCACCCAGGCUUUUGGGGACCACAUGCACCCCCUCCACUCAUUCUUGCUCCCAUCCAGUUCUCCUACCUCUAGAAAAAAUCGUUUCGCAGCUCAAACCCAUGUUCUUGCUCCUCCAGCUGGGAUUUUCGAUCUCUUUGCUCAAAUCACCGUUCUCCGAACUGUUUUGGGGAAAUUACUCCUUCGUAAGUGACUCCUCCAUUGGUCCAAUUAGUUUUUGCUCUAGUGCCUUAUACUCCGCGUAUUUUUGCUGCCUUGGUGACCAUGUUCUUGAGCUUUGCAUGCUGAUUCUAGCUGGUCCCAAGUAGUUUUGAUGCGUAAUAUGGUCUCUAGGCACUUGUUGGAGUAGUUGCUAUGAGUUUCGUUGAGCCUUAUUCACUUUUCCUUAGAAUCACUAAAAAUUUCAGAAAUUUUCAGAGAUAGAAAAGGGAAAAGAUGAGGAGGUUCUUAAGAGGCUCGUCAAGCCGUGACCCCAAGGAUGAUGGGAGUGAGAAGAAGCCCAAGUAUUUGGUCCCUCGAGUCGCAGAAGUUCGAGCGUGCGAGUGGCCAAGCGACGUGUUCUUACGUGCUGCUGGAAUUUAUGAGGACUUUUAUCACUUGGUGGAGAACGCAGGCCUUACUGCCUUCGUUGAAGAUAAGUGUCCGCAAUACCUCCGCCUCACUAGUAUCUUCGUACAAAGCUUUCACUUCUAUCCGAGGAAGAAUCCUCCUACGGUUGAGUUUAAACUUUAUGAUAUCCCCCAGCGCAUGUCACUCCAGGAUUUUUGCAAUGUUUGCAAAUUGCCUUACGUUGUGGAUAUUCAUGAACCUCGUCCACGGGACCUGGAAGCUUUCAUUGGUACUAUUGCUGUAGGAGAGGAGAGAGGAGUGUCUUGCGCUAGAGCUGCUAGCAUACAUUUUCCCGUGCUUCGAUACUUCUCACUAUUUGUGGAAAAUGUUUGAUUUGCCGUGGGAAAGCUGGGUCACUUAGUUCCCCAGAUCCUGCGGUCUUGCGCGAAGCCCUUUAUAACGAUAAAACUUAUAGCUUAGGCACUAUAGUAGCUCAAUGGUUGAACCUGAACCGUUCUAAGGGUGUUGUCUAUGGAGGUAUCUACGCUACUCGUCUUGCUAGACACUUUGAGAUACCUAUUAGACUGGUGGAGGAAGAAGAGAUUCUUCUUCCCGAGAGAUAUCUAGAUUAUGAUAGCAUGGUUCGCCAUGACUUUCUUGAUAGAGAUAUAGGUGGAAGGAUGAUUUAUAACCUGGUAUUUAGUUAGGGUACUCGUGAGACUAUUACUUUGUCUGCUCCUUCUUUGUUCAAUCUUCAUGCAGGCAGGUACACUAUUAUGCCCUCGGACAUCUAUGCAUAUUGGGGCUUAGCCCAACCACAGGUGCCCGUGCCCGAGCCGCCAGUCGAGUACCAGACGCCAGUUUAUCAGUGGGAGCCAGAGGAGCUCACACAGCAGUGGCAUCCUCAGUCCACACCGGAGUACCCAGGAGCUGGUUAUUUCCCUCCUUGGGAGUAUACCAAGUUAGGCCAAAAGCCUAAGCUUGGGGGAGUACGUGUUCUCACCGACUUUAAAUUCUUGCUUAUGCUUUCACUUUGCUAGCCAGUGUUCACACUUUGCCACUGUAUCAUCCAUGCUAGUUUAUUUUCUUUUUUCUCAUUUUCUUUUCGUGUGUCUGUCUAGUUUGAGAAAAAAAACAAAAAGAUUUCCUUUUUCUUCUUUUGCUUGUUGGGAGCUUUCCCGUGUAGAGAGUUUUCUUUUUCUUUGGGUCAAGGUAGAAGACAUUGGUUGCAAUGUUUAGUGGCUCUUGCAUGCAUACCUGUUUAGUUUUCAAAGAGCCAUAUUACUUUGUCUUCUCCUUUGUGUUUGCCUGCAGAUUCCAGCUUUAGUCCAACGCACGAGCACGCUUAUUAUUGUUCACUUCGUUCGGUCGUGCAAGUGAAAGGAAAUAAUGACGAUAUAUGAUGAAGUGACUGAGCCUGGAAAAGAUGGUAUGAACUCGAUCUAUUUUGCUUUUGUAAAGAUGACUAGCUCAUCAUGCCUGACUCAGCUUUGUUGUGAGAGAAACAUGUUUGCAAUGAAAACUUAGAGAUCAUAGUUGCUUAUGCCAUGCUUACUUGGCUAGGAUCUUAUAAUUGUUUGUCUUGGUUGCCAACAUGAAUGUUGAGAUGACUAUGAUGUAGUAUUAUAGGAUGAUAUCCUCCUUUGAAUGUUUCAAGUGGCUUGACUUGGCACAUGUUCACGCAUGUAGUUGAAACAAAAUCAACAUAGCCUCUAUGAUGUUCAUGUUCAUGGUGAUUUAUGUCCUACUCAUGCUUGCAUUCAAUGUUAGUUACUCUCAAUACAUUUUGAUGACUGUUGUCGCUCUCUAGUUGGUCGCUUCCCAGUCUUUUGCUAGCCUUCACUUGUACUAAGCGGGAAUACUGCUUGUGCAUCCACCUCCAUAAACCCAAAGUUGUGCCAUAUGAGUCCAUCAUACCUUACUAUGUGCGGUAUCUACCUGUCGUUCGAAGUAAAUUUGCAUGUGCCACUCUCUAAAUAUUCAAGAAAUAAUCUGUUUUGCAUGCGUGAACCGCUCAUGUGGUGACAGGGGGCUAUUGGUAUCUUCCAUGCUAGGCAUGUUAUCCUCGAUAUGUGUUUAUUCACUAUCAUUCACGAGAAAGGGGCCGGUAAUUGGAAUUCCCAGUUCCAUGCUCAAAUGUAAAAGAUAAUUACAAACAAAACUCCCCCAGGAUUGAUGUUGGUAUGGACGGUACCCGAGGAUUAGGCUAGCCGUGGAGUGUGAUUGAUUGGUGGUGGGGGAGUCAAAACUUUACUUUUCUGUUUGGGAACCGCCUAUAGCAUGUGUAGCAUGGAAGAUGUUGAGAACUCUUAGUCAUUGCGUUGACAAUGAAAGCAUGCCACCCAAAAUUAUUAUCUCUGUUUUCAAAGCUUGAGCUCUGGCACCUCUGCAAAUCAAUGCUUCCCUCUGCGAAGGGCCUGUCUAUUUAUGUUCAUGAGUCAUCCUCCUCUUACAAAAGCACCAAUUAGAGAGCACCUCUGUCAUUUUUAUGCUUUGCUUUUAACUGUGUUGAGUAUGACUAUGACUGGAUCUUCAUUGCCUUGAAUUACAAUGUUUAGUCAGCCCUUGGUCUUUGAAGGUGCUCUGCAUUUAUGUUUUGCGGUCUCAGAAAGAGCUAGCGAGAUACCAUCUAUUCGUACUGCUUCAUCUUGCUUUGAUUGAAGUGUUGACAUUUGAGGCUUAUUAUUAUUUGCUCGCUAGUUGAUUAUGCCAUUGAUAUGAGUUUACCGUGAGACCUAGAUGUCAUUUGCUUAUGUGGUUUGCUUGUGAUGUUGCUGAAAUUCUGGUUAUGAGUUAGACAUAGUUGCAACAACAAGAUCAAACAGAGUUCGUCAAAGUUUUUCUUUUGUCUCUCUCAGUUUGUCAACUGAGUUGCUUGAGGACAAGCAAGGCUUUAAGCUUGGGGGAGUUGAUACGUCUCCGUCGUAUCUACUUAUUCAAACUCUUUUGCCCUUGUUUUGGACUCUAAUUUGCAUGAUUUGAAUGGAACUAACACGGACUGACGCUGUUUUCAGCAGAAUUGCCAUGGUGUUGUUUUUGUGCAGAAGUAAAAGUUCUCGGAACAUCCAGAAAAUUUACGUAGAAUUUUUCCGGAAUAAAAAAAAUACCUGCGCAAAGGUCCACGUGAGGGGGCGUGCCAGUGGGCUACAAGCCCACAGGCUGCGGCCACCCCCUAUGGUCGCGUAGUGUAGGGUUGUGGGGACCACGUGGCACCACCGCCCCCAAACUCAGCUCUAUAUUUUCCAUUUCGCCUGGAAAAAAUAAAUCAGAAAUAAGGUUUCAUCGUGUUUUGCGAUACGAAGGCACCGCCACAUCCUGUUCUUCAUCUGGAGGGCAGAUGUGUAGUCCGUUUCGGGCUCCGGAGAGGGGAAAUCGUCGCCAUCGUCAUGAUCAACCUUUCUCCAUCAACAAUUCCGUGAUGCUCUUCAUCGUUCGUGAGUAAUCUCAUCGUAGGCUUGCUGGACGGUGAUGAGUUGGAUGAGAUCUAUCAUGUAAUCGAGUUAGUUCUUGACGGGGAUUGAUCCCUAGUAUCCACUAUGUUCUAGAUUGAUGUUGCUACUACUUUGCCAUGCUUAAUGCUUGUCACUAUGGCUGAGUGUCAUGAUUUCAGAUCUGAACCUAUUAUGUUGUCGCCAAUAUAUGUGUGUUUUAGAUCCUAUCUUGCAAGUUGUAGUCACCUACUAUGUGUUAUGACCCGGCAACCCCGGAGUGACAAUAGCCGGAACCACUCCCGGAGAUGACCAUAGUAUGAGGAGUUCAUGUAUUCACCAAGUGUUAAUGCGUUGGUCCGGUUCUUUAUUAAAAGGAGAACCUUAAUAUCCCGUAGUUUCCAUUAGGACCCCGCUGCCAUGGGAGGGAUGGACAAUAGAUGUCAUGCAAGUUCUUUUCCCUAAGCACGUAUGACUACAUACAGAAUACAUGCCUACAUUAGAUUGAUGAAUGGGAGCUAGUUACAUAUCUCUCCGUGUUAUAGCUGUUACAUGAUGAAUCACAUCCGUCACACUCAUCCAUCACCAAUCCACUGCCUACGAGUCUUUUACUACUGGUCCUGGCUACGUUACUUUGCCUAGGCUUGUCCCUUGCUACAAAAGGGAUUGGUCCACUUUGCUGUUGUUGUCACUACUGCUGUUACUUGUUGCUUUGCUGCUGCUGUCACUACUGCUGUUACUUGUUAUUUUGUUGCUGCUGCUACUACUGUUCCUUGCUACUCCACUGUUACUUGUUGCAAGACUUUUUUGGCGCUAACAUCUCGUCAACAAGGCUUUUUCUGGCGCCGUUGCCGGGGAUUGUCAAAGCUUUUUCUGGUGCCGUUGCUAUCAUACUUUCUUGCUACUGAUACUUUGCUUGCAGACACUAAUCUUUCAGGUGUGGUUGAAUUGACAACUCAACUGCUAAUACUUGAGAAUAUUCUUUAGCUUCCCCUUGUGAGAUAAUCAAUAAAUUUGGGUUGAAUACUCUACCCUCGAAAACUGAUGCGAUCCCAUACGCUUGUGGGACAUCAGAGACCUAGUGCUUCUGUACAACUCUCAUUUUAGAUUCUUUGUAGGUAAACUCCUCUCCAAAUGGGAAGGACCCUAUGUUGUCGAGGAGGUUUAUCGGUCUGGAGAGUGGUGAAAAAUUAAUGACUUCGAAGGUAAAAACCCGAGAGUCGUGAAUGGGCAAAGAAUCAAACAUUAUAUUUUAGGUGCACCCAUUAAUGAGGAGACCAAUAUCAUCCAAGUCAUAACACGGGAAGAUCACAUAAAGUAAGAGGCUGUUUGGUUUCCAGUCUAAGGUUGCCACGCCUAACCUUAGUCAUGCCACAAUACCUUAGGCAUGUGUUUGGUUCAUUGUCACACUUGUGGCUUGCCACACUUUUCUAGUUAUAUGGUCCACAUGUCAUACACUUAUUGUUUUGCCAAAUCUUGCCACACUUGUGGUGUCUAUUUUCUUAGCCACACUUUUUGUGGCAGCCACACUUUGCCUAAGGUUAGUUGUGGCAAAGUUAGUCAUGAACCAAACAGGCCCUAAGUCUUCCGGAAUGCUCCACACACCUGAAAAAGGGUAGGUAUGUGGUACGGUAAGUAAACCGACUCCAAAAAUUCCCAAAAAAUAAUUUAUGUCAGCUUUGGUAUUUUAGAAAAAUUACAACAAUAAAAAGGAGUCCAGGGGACCCACGAGGUAGGCACAUGCCAACAAGGUGCGCCCCCUGAUUUUUUGUGGGGCCCUCGUGCGCCUCCCGGUAUAUGACUUCUUACUGAACACGUAUUCUGGUCUAGAAAAAUUAUUAUAUAUACUCCCGGUUGUUUUGAAUAUCGCACCGCGAGAUUUUCUUCUGUUCUUGUUUCGGGUUGUUUUUCUGACAGAUCUAGAUCACCAUGACGACUCCAGGUUCCUCCAAGGACAAGUUCUUAGAGAAGGUCAUCAACCCGUACCUCCUGGAGGUGAUGAAACACCCUCAAGACAUUGACAUGCAUGAGGGGGUGCUUCACAUCCGUGACGUCCAAGAGCCAAAGAAGGAGGGAAGCGAGAAGGACAAGCUUGCAGAGGUGGAGCAGGAGAUCUUCAAGUGUCAGGGGAUGGUUGAACGUGGUUUGAGUGCUAACCACUCCAUGAUCAGAGACUUCAUCCAGGAGAACAAGCUGGACACUACGAAAGUGGGGAGGUUUUUUUUAAAAUAGAAGAGCGGGUCGAUCAGCUCCAAGGUCAAGUCUAUGAACUCGAAAGCCAAAACUGCGACUAUGAAUCUAGGUUUUAAAGGAUGAGCUUUGCUGCCGGUUUCAGGGCUCCCGAGACAAAAUUCUCUUAUUAUGAUGGGGAGUCUACACCUUGGAAGGCAUAAGAGGACACCCCAACUACACCACCACUGACACCCAAGAAGGACGCUUGAGUACAUGGUUAUGGGCAUCACCCUUGGCUUACAUAAUAAAGAUUAGUUGAGUAUGUAUGCUUUGCUCUCAUUACAUCCAACAUCAUAGCAAAGCAAUGAAAAACAUAUAUAGAGAAAUAUCAUAUGCUUAUCUUAUGAGGAGUAAUGACUUUGCAUAGUAAAAAGUAUAAGUGAUGAAGGUUCUUGAAAAUAAACAAGCAUAGUAUUAAUCAUGUUACAAUCUAAGCAAGACUAGAAAGAGGAGAGGAGAUUCUCAUAUAAAUACACAAUCUUGGACAUCUUUUAUGAUUGUGAUCCCUCAUCAAAUAUUAUAUAUUGAUCAAGUGUUGACGUAGGACAUGUAAGACAACAUAAUGGUGAUGGUACUUUACAUUCAUAUAGAAUUUAUAUGGUCGUGGAUCCUUUAACAUGUGGUGCUUGCUUUAGAUCUUUUGCUAGCCCAAAAACUUUGCACUAAGUAGAAAUACUACUUGUGCAUCCAUAACCCUGAAACCCAGUUUCUUGCCAUGAGAGUCCACUAUACCUACCCAUGGAUUGAGUAAGAUCCUUCAAGUAAGUUGUCAUCGAGGCACCAAGCAAUAUAAAGUUGCUCCUAAAUAUGUAUGAUCUUUUAUUACGAGGGAAAAUAAACUUUGUACGAUCUUGUGAUGGCAAAUAAAUAAAAACGACAAGCUGCAUAAUAAACUUUGCUAUCACAAGGGGCAAUAUAAAGUGAUGUUCCUUUGCAUUAAGAGUUUGCACACCUCUGCUUCCCUCUACGAAGGGCCUAUCUUUUAUCUUUGAAAGUUCACACUUGUGUGUGAGUCACUAAAUUCCUUCAUCUUUCUACUUAUUAAUUCUAUAGUGGCAAGCAUCAUGUGUUGAGGAAAGAUUCAGAUUUAUAUAUCCAAGUGAAUGUAGAUUAUCAUGAUUAUUAUUGUUGACAUUCUCCUUGAGGUAAAUGGGUUGGGCCGCAAAUCAUUUAAGCCCCUAUCUUCCUAUGUGUCCUGUGAAAACAUGAGCUCCAAAAAUAUGACUCGAGUGUGAGGAAUCAUAGAAGAAUAAAUGAUAAUUGAGUAUGUGAACUUGCUAAUAAGAAAGCUCUUACAUAAAAUCUCCUCUCAAAUAUGUUCAGUUAUGAUUGGCCCAUUGACUGAGAAGAUAGUUUGUUGUUUGUCAGCAAAUAUUUAUGCUUGAUACUCCAAUAUUUGUGAAUGGAUUGUUAAUUAUUUAUGAGAAGAUAUAUGAUAAAAUAUUUGCUGCUCUGCUAAUAUUCAUGAUGCUCUCAUGCCUGUAUUUUUAUUUUAUCGACUUCUCCCUCUCAAAUCAUGUGGCCAUUAUUCUUGAGCUCGGCUUUGGCUUGAGGACAAGCGAGGUCUAAGCUUGGGGGAGUUGAUACAUCCAUUUUUCAUCAUGAAUCUUUAUUGAUAUUUUUCUUAUUAUUGUCCAUUAUUCCCUAUCAUUAUGUAAUUCUUAUGCCUUUUCUCUCUAAAUAUGCAAGGUACGUCACAAAGAGGGAAAUAUCUGAAAAUAGGAAUUCUCGACCGAGAAACCGAGAAAAAGGCAGAAAAAUCAAGUUGCUCCAAAUGACCUGAAACUUCAUGCAAAAUCAAGUUGCUCCAGCACCAUAUCAUCUCCAAUCGUAGUUCAUCUCAUGUAUUCAAUCUUUGCCGCAAAACCUCAAAUUGGUAUUUGUGGGUUGCUAGUUAUGUUCAAUACAUCUUUUAGUUGAUGGUAGUUGGAUUACUUGGUGGAAGACAUUAUGUUGAGAUCCUUGAUCAUUAUUAUUAUACUUCUGGUGUUGAACAUGUUGAUAAGGUGUGGGUAGUUACUAUUUCUCCUAAGGACAUGGGAGAAGUCUUGUUAUAAGUAAUCAUAUAAAGUUGGUAUUCGUUCAAUAUUUUGAUGAUAUAUAUGUUGUUACUUCCUUUAGUGGUGUCAUGUGAACAUUGAUUACAUGUCACUUCACCAUGUUAUGGGCCUAAAAAAAGUCAUUGUCGAGUAACAAAUAGAUGAUGGGUUGUGAGAAUGACGGAUGCUUAAACCACAGUUUAUGCGUUGCUUCAUGAGGGGUGAUUUGGAUCCACAUGUUUCAUGCUAUGGUUAGAUUUAUCUUAAUUCUUCUUUCAUAGUUGAGGAUGCAUGCGAGAGGGGUUAAUCAUAAGUAGGUUGUUAGUUCAAGUAAGAACAACACAUUAGCGUCGGUCCACCAACAUAUCAAAUUAUCAAAGUAACAAACACGAACCAACUCAAUAUGAUGAACAUGACUAGACAAAUAUUCCCAUGUGACCUCGGGAGCACUUGCUUUAUAUAAGAGUACUUUCAGGCAUGUUCUUUGCUAUAAAAAGGAUUGGGCUAUCUUGCUGCACCUUUGUUACUAUUUCUACUUGUCACCGGUUACAAAUUGUCUUGCUACAAAACUAUCUAUCACUGCUAUUCACAGCACUUGCGGAGAAUACCUUGUUGAAUACUACUUAUCAUUUCCUUCCGCUCCACGCUGGGUUCGACACUCUUACUUAUUGAAAGGGCUACGAUUGAUCCCCUAUACUUCUCCAUAGAAUCUUAUAUAUGAUGAUCAACUUGCUUCUUCCCAUACAUAUAUAAUGAUCCAUUUGCUCCAGGAUCCAUUUGCUUCUUCCCCUGUUUUUUUAACUCCUAUAGAAUGAUCAAUCACGGUAUGCAUGAGUAUACAUUAUUCUUCCCAUACUAUUUUGUUAGUUCAACUAAAAGAGACACGACAAUCUUAUAUAUGAAUGGCAUACAUUCCUAGCAUAGCAUUGUAACUAAAACAUUGAAGUCGUGCAUUUUUUGAUAAUGCAUCGUUUGCAUACUACUUCUAUAACCGGGAUGGAAAUUACCAUGAAGUAUUGGUGGCAAUUUGCACUAUAAUUACAUGGCAAAGUUGCACUAUAAUUACAUGGCAAAGUUGCAGUGUCGGUGCAUUUAGCGGCAACUACUUCUAUAACCGGGUGGCCACUACCAGCAAAGUUGGGCGGCAUCCCCCCUCCCUAAUCCCUUGAUGAAAAAAAUAUCCGCUUUGUCUUGCCCCUCCCCCAUACCCACCUGACAAGUUAUUGGACGUACGGGCCGCGGGGUGGUAUACCCAAACCUACGGGAGGUGGGGUGGGACGCAGAACGUAGGCUGUUUUGCGUAAAUGGCACACGAGACGUGCGGCAAUCCAUCCUUAGAGUCCAUACAUGUGGUAAAUACCACGACCUUAAAUUUAAUCAACAUGGACUACUACAACAGAAGCAAAAAAUAUACCAUAGAACUAGUAUUCGAAAGAAGGUUUUUAAUGAUAUAGUUUUAGAGUUUUUAAUGGUAUAAUUUUUUGCUUCCGUCGCAGUUAGUCAUAUUUGCUGAAUUUAUGGUACAUAAAUCUUAAAAAAUAUAAUGCAUUACAUUAUGAAACAAAAGGAGUACUUUUCAUGAUGAUUUGACACCACAUACGUGUAUGAAAGAUUGUAAAUAUGACACCGAUGCCAAGCAUGAUUUACGUCGCCAAUUUGGCAUUUGGCACGCCGUGAAUGCCCUUUUCAGCAGAUGAAUCGAAGGUCUUAAAUGGAGUGCAGAGUACUUGUCAGAAACUGACAAGAUGGAACGAAACAUAUCAGUCAGGACUUUUCCCCACCACCGGUGGGAUAUAACAAAGGUCCUAAAAUCAGCGCACAAUAUUGAAAGGCGAAAAAACGUGAUCUUGCUAACUAUCGGUUCUUUAUCUGCAUUGUACUCUCUCCAUUCCAUAAUAUAAUAAUACAAAAAUUUCUAUGACACUAGUUUCGUGUAGAAAAUGCCUUUGUAUUAUAUGAACGGAAAGGAGUAACUUCUACUAUGUGCCUUUCCACAGGUCUCCCAUCCCUGAACGGGCAAGGAAAAGAUCUAUCGAAGAAACGCGACCGAGUAUCCGUUCGCUUCCCCAAAUACGUUUUUAGGCGAAAAAUAGCGCCUCUUGGGGCAGUCGGUGCUAUUUUCGAUGUACAGGAACUCCGGCUUCCAACGUCUCCAGUUGCCCCUUCCUCCUUCAACCGUCGAGUUCGAACUCUGAUUCGACACAUAGUUCAUAUCAAUACAAAUCAAAUAGUUUAAUGAAGCAAGUUCAUAAUUCAAACACAAUUAAAAUACAUCAAACUUGGCAUUGCCUUUGAGACCUCCAUAGGUGUUUCAUCAGAUCGUGUUGCAAUUUUUGUUGUACCUGUAGGUCUCGGAUCUCUUGACGCACAUUAAGGAAGACAACCCAUAAUUUCAGUACCUGAUGAUCAACAGCUGCAAGAGAACAGACAAAUCACCAAACAUCUAGCGGGCGUGGUGGACGGGUAGCCGCCGGUAUCCUCGCUUGCGUGGUCGGACCUUUGGAAAGCUCGGCGAGUAGCGGGGAUGGAGGCCGUCACGACGAAACUCACUCUUUGCGGUAUGGGAAUGGCCUUUCUAGCUGUGAGACAGCGACCGUGGGCAGGGGAAUGGUGCCGGUAUCAAUAUGACGAUGAAAGGGGAAGUGAUGUUCUACCGCGCGUGGAUCGUAUCUGAAUGGGAAAAGGCAUUUCUUGCGGCCACUUUUCCUUCCAUCGGAGCUUCAAGUGCCCCAACGCUUUGGAUUCGGGCUGAAAUCGCUGGACCGAAAAAUGACCUACGGAAUUUGAGGAUAUUUUUUGCGUCGGCGGAAAAGAAGUCCUCUUGAUGGGUCUGUUGUGGUGCGGGUGGAGAUGCUCUCACCUCGAUCAGCAAUGCUACACAUACAUAAGUUUACAUACUCCCUCCUUUCUGGUUUACAGGGCUCAUCUCAAAAUUUUCAGAUUUCCAUUAUAUUAGGCUCAUUUUAAGUCUAAUAGAGUUAAAGUGCUUUGAGUCCCAUGCCAUAUUUAAUUCAUAGAGUUUGAAGAAAAGAGAUGAGUGGCUAUGUAUGCAUCAUUUUCUACAUCCAUCAUGAAAGUCCAAUGAGAAGGAGAAUGUUACAUUUAUUGCCUUGAAAAUUGAAUAUGUGAGUAAAUAUUUCAUUGGCUAGUUAAAGCUAGUGUCAUCCACUUACAAUUCACCUUGGUUGAUGAGAUUUUAGAUUUGAACCCUAUAAACCGGAAAGGAGGGAGUAGGUUUUACAAAGAAGUGGAUUUUAAUUAAAGAUUAAGGGGAAUGAGGGCUCCACCCUCCCUUGAAAAUCAAAAAAAGUGAUUAGUUAGAAAGAAAAAAUCGUAAUCAACGUGUAAUUUAAGUAACUCUUUGUAUGUCUAACAUUUUUGUGAUCUCGACUUCUCGACUGUGAUAAGACCACCCGUCGGCACGGAUUCACGGACAAUAAAACCAUCCGCCCCAUUCCAAUUCAUCGACAUUGACAUGCCGCCAUACCUGCAUGCAUCAUUGCAUCUCUCCCUCCGCCCGUGACCUGAGAAGGACGGGCCGCAUGUCGCACCUCUACCUAUUCUAUCCUCCUCUCCUGCGCGGACGACGCACCGCCACCCCGUGCAACUCGCCUAUAAGAAGCGGCGUACACAAUGCUAAGCCUAAGCUCACUCCAACAGAGCCACACACGACACAAUCUCCUUAGCAUUACCAGAGCCUCCCAGUUAGCAAUGGCAAAGUGUCUCGCCGUCGCGCUCCUGCUAGUGGUGCUGCUCGCGUCCUGCGACGGGAGGGAGCUGAACGAGAAGGCUGCAGCGACACGCGGUGCCGGUGUCGGCGGCGGCGUCGGCGAGUCCAAGGCUAUGGGGUUGCCGGACUUGCCAGCUGUGACGCUCCCCACGACCCCGACGCUCCCCACGGCACCGACGCUCCCCACACUCCCGACGCUCCCUACGGUCCCGACUCUCCCGCUACUGGGAACCAUUACGGGUACCAGUACCAUUACCGGCCCGGUGGUGGUGCUUCCGGCGGUCCCUGCUCACCCAUGAUUAUCUCUACUUGUACGGUGUACGUGCCUAGAUCAUAGCACCGUUCGCAGGGAAAGACACCGGCGUUGCGUUCAUGUCCAAGGCCCUUCAUUGAUGGGAGUCUGUAUUUAUCUUCAGUUAAAGUUCUUGUAUUGUUCGUUCGUUGAUGUGUUUUUACAUGUAUCAUGGACAUCAUAAAUACUACCGGUACUUUGUCAGCGUGAUCACCUUGUUGGAUAGACGUACGAACAAGUCGCAGCAUCAACGUCCCACUUCGUCACUCUAAUAACAAAGCCCCAAGUCCAGAGUUGUUCAUUUAAAAGAACUACUUCCUCCGAUCUAAAUUAAUCGACGCAACCUCUAUGCAAGCAAGUUAGUUGUCGCAGGGUUUCAUGGCUUGCUUUCUACAUGCGUUUUGCAUGAUUGUGUUUUGUUCUUGACUGGGGGACUAUUUUGAGUAAUGAUAUGUAUCCACGAACUUUACGAGCGUUUUAUGGGGUGAGUUUAAGCUCGCAAGUUGUGUUUCG
This 28253-nucleotide long non-coding RNA is filed under the name Hordeum vulgare. RNAcentral's name for it is "long non-coding RNA (HVUL_LNC005594)". The record is from RNAcentral. Lineage: Eukaryota; Viridiplantae; Streptophyta; Magnoliopsida; Poales; Poaceae.